AGAGCGAAGAGAUCAUGAUACACCUGAGAGAAAACUUGAACAAGGCACUGGAAUAAUUGAGAGGCGAACGAAGAGACAACAACUGAGAAGAAUUUGAGAAUGAAGCUGAAAGUUGAGAAAGAAGAAAUAUUCUGAAAUGACGGCCUUCGGAUGAUCGAGAAAUGAAAACAAAACUGAAAUGCACCGGAUAGAUAUGGAAAGUAAUUACUCAUGAUCAAAAACAAAUGAGAGGAUAGCACGAAGCUGAAACCCUGAACCUUCAAGAGAAUGGACCAAGAUUAAGAGAAGCACUUCUUCAGUCUUCAAGGCUGAGAAUGAUGACAAGAACACCACCAUGAAUUACUGAGAGACUAUGGAAUAAUGAAGAAAGAAAGGUCGAGCCAACGAUGAAAAUAAUUCAAAGUGAUCUUGGAGAAGGAAUAUGACUAAUGAAAAUCAUUCUUACGUCAUAAUGGAAAAGAAUUAGAGAUCUCUAGAAAACACUAGAAGAGCGAGGUAAGAUACUGGGAAAACCCGUGGGUUAUGGGCCCACUCAAAAGGAACAUCGUUGAAU
This 553-nucleotide long non-coding RNA is filed under the name Hordeum vulgare. RNAcentral's name for it is "long non-coding RNA (HVUL_LNC012569)". The record is from RNAcentral. Lineage: Eukaryota; Viridiplantae; Streptophyta; Magnoliopsida; Poales; Poaceae.